This 1923-nucleotide ribosomal RNA is filed under the name human gut metagenome. Its description in RNAcentral is "bacterial LSU rRNA". It matches the Rfam family "Bacterial large subunit ribosomal RNA", at positions 515 to 2447 of the family's 2925-position model. The record is from RNAcentral.
UGAAAAGCACUUCGAACAGAAGAGUGAAAUAGUCCCUGAACCCAUACGCCUACAAGCAGUCGGAGCCGCUUCGUGCGGUGACGGCGUGCCUUUUGCAUAAUGAGCCUACGAGUUACUCAUCACCAGCGAGGUUAAGUACUUCAGGUACGUAAGCCGAAGCGAAAGCGAGUCUGAAUAGGGCGUCAAGUUGGUGGUGGUAGACGCGAAACCUUAGUGAUCUACCCAUGGGCAGGGUGAAGGUUUGGUAACACAAACUGGAGGCCCGAACCGGUAAACGUUGAAAAGUUUUCGGAUGACCUGUGGGUAGGGGUGAAAGGCCAAUCAAACUGGGAAAUAGCUCGUACUCUCCGAAAUGCAUUUAGGUGCAGCCUCUGUUGUUUUGUUCUAGAGGUAGAGCUACUGAUUGGAUGCGAGGGCUUCACCGCCUAUCAAAUCCGGCCAAACUCCGAAUGCUAGAACAUGAAGACAGGGAGUGAGCCAGCGGGUGCUAAGGUCCGUUGACGAAAGAGGGAGAACUCAGACCAUCAGCUAAGGUCCCCAAUUAUAUGCUAAGUUGGAAUAAAAACGGGGUGGGACUGCUUAGACAGCUAGGAUGUUGGCUUGGAAGCAGCCAUUCAUUUAAAGAGUGCGUAACAGCUCACUAGUCGAGCGGUCCUGCAUGGAUAAUACGCGGGCAUAAGCAUAUAACCGAAGCUAUGGGAUUGUAGAUGAUACAAUCGGUAGGAGAGCAUUCCAUUCAGCAUAGAAGCAGUAUCGUGAGGUAUUGUGGAGCGGAUGGAAAAGCAAAUGUAGGCAUAAGUAACGAUAAUGCGGGUGAGAACCCCGCACGCCGAAAGAUCAAGGAUUCCCCGGCAAUGUCAAUCAUCCGGGGGUAAGUCGGAUCCUAAGGGUAAGCCGAGUGGCGAUCCCGAUGGUAAACAGGUUAAUAUUCCUGUACUGAUCAUAACUGCGAUGCAGCGACGCAGAGGUGACACUGCUGCGUACUGACGGAAUAGUACGUUGAAACCCGUAUUCUUUGAUACCGGUAGUGAAGCACGCCGGUAGAGAUGAAAGGUGAUAGUACCGCAAUGCUUCGGUUGCGCGGAUAAUGCAGGUAAGCUGACUGCCAAGAAAACCUGCUAAGCUUCAGGUAAUGAUCAUCCGUACUGUAAACGGACACACGUGAUCAGGUAGAAAAUACUAAGGCGCUCGAGAGAUUCAUGGUUAAGGAACUAGGCAAAAUGGUCCUGUAACUUCGGGAUAAAGGACGCUCUUGUGAAAGAGCCGCAGAUAAUAGGCCCAGGCGACUGUUUACCAAAAACACAUGGCUAUGCUAAAUCGCAAGAAGAUGUAUAUGGCCUGACACCUGCCCGGUGCCGGAAGGUUAAGAGGAGAGCUCAGAGGUAACUCGAAGGUUUGAAUUGAAGCCCCGGUAAACGGCGGCCGUAACUAUAACGGUCCUAAGGUAGCGAAAUUCCUUGUCGGGUAAGUUCCGACCUGCACGAAUGGUGUAACGAUCUGGGUACUGUCUCAACCAUGAGCUCGGUGAAAUUGUAGUUCCGGUGAAGAUGCCGGAUACCCGCAACGGGACGGAAAGACCCCGUGAACCUUUACUGCAGCUUUGCAUUGAUUUUGGGUAACAGAUGUGUAGGAUAGGUCGGAGGCUUUGAUGCUGCGUCGUCAGGCGUAGAGUAGCCGUCGUUGAAAUACGACCCUUUUGUUAUCUGAGGUCUAACCCGUUAGGGAGACAUUGCAUGGUGGGUAGUUUGACUGGGGUGGUCGCCUCCAAAAGUGUAACGGAGGCUUCUCAAGGUACCCUCAAGGCGUUUGGUAAUCGUCUGCAGAGUGCAAUGGCAUAAGGGUGCUUGACUGUGAGACCGACACGUCGAUCAGGUUGGAAACAAGAGCAUAGUGAUCCGGUGGUUCCGCAUGGAAGGGCCAUCG